RNAcentral lists this ribosomal RNA (1369 nucleotides) under uncultured prokaryote. RNAcentral describes it as "partial 16S ribosomal RNA". It matches the Rfam family "Bacterial small subunit ribosomal RNA", at positions 27 to 1398 of the family's 1533-position model. The record is from RNAcentral.
GAUUGAACGCUGGCGGUAGGCCUAACACAUGCAAGUCGAACGGUAACGGACCGCUGGGAUCCCUUCGGGGUGACCUUGGUGCCGACGAGUGGCGGACGGGUGAGUAACACGUAGGAAUCUGCCCAACAAUGGGGGACAACCCGGAGAAAUCCGGGCUAAUACCGCAUACGCCCUACGGGGGAAAGCGGGGGAUCUUCGGACCUCGCGUUGUUGGAGGAGCCUGCGUCGGAUUAGCUUGUUGGUGAGGUAACGGCUCACCAAGGCGACGAUCCGUAGCUGGUCUGAGAGGACGACCAGCCACACUGGGACUGAGACACGGCCCAGACUCCUACGGGAGGCAGCAGUGGGGAAUAUUGCACAAUGGGCGAAAGCCUGAUGCAGCCAUACCGCGUGUGUGAAGAAGGCCUUAGGGUUGUAAAGCACUUUCAGUUGUGAGGAAUGUGACGUUAACAACAGAAGAAGCACCGGCUAACUUCGUGCCAGCAGCCGCGGUAAUACGAGGGGUGCAAGCGUUAAUCGGAAUUACUGGGCGUAAAGCGUUCGUAGGCGGUUAUUUAAGCAAGAUGUGAAAGCCCCGGGCUCAACCUGGGAACUGCAUUUGGAACUGAUUCGCUAGAGUACAGUAGAGGAUAGUGGAAUUCCCAGUGUAGAGGUGAAAUUCGUAGAUAUUGGGAAGAACACCAGUGGCGAAGGCGGCUAUCUGGACUGAUACUGACACUGAGGUGCGAAAGCGUGGGUAGCGAACAGGAUUAGAUACCCUGGUAGUCCACGCCGUAAACGAUGUCUACUAGCCGUUGGGGGGUUGUCCCCUUAGUGGCGCAGCUAACGCGAUAAGCUGACCGCCUGGGGAGUACGGCCGCAAGGUUAAAACUCAAAUGAAUUGACGGGGGCCCGCACAAGCGGUGGAGCAUGUGGUUUAAUUCGAUGCAACGCGAAGAACCUUACCAGGUCUUGACAUCCUGCGAACUUUCUAGAGAUAGAUUGGUGCCUUCGGGAACGCAGUGACAGGUGCUGCAUGGCUGUCGUCAGCUCGUGUCGUGAGAUGUUGGGUUAAGUCCCGUAACGAGCGCAACCCUUGUCCUUAGUUGCCAGCACGUAAUGGUGGGAACUCUAAGGAGACUGCCGGUGACAAACCGGAGGAAGGUGGGGACGACGUCAAGUCAUCAUGGCCCUUACGACCUGGGCUACACACGUGCUACAAUGGCCGGUACAAAGGGCAGCUAACCCGCGAGGGGGCGCGAAUCCCAUAAAACCGGUCGUAGUCCGGAUUGGAGUCUGCAACUCGACUCCAUGAAGUCGGAAUCGCUAGUAAUCGUGAAUCAGAAUGUCACGGUGAAUACGUUCCCGGGCCUUGUACACACCGCCCGUC